ACCUGACUGCUAUCGGAUUGAUACUAAGCCAUGCGAGUCAUUGUAGCAAUACAAGGCAUACGGCUCAGUAACGCGUAGUCAACCUAACCUAUGGACGGGAAUAACCUCGGGAAACUGAGAAUAAUGCCCGAUAGAACAUUAUGCCUGGAAUGGUUUAUGUUCCAAAUGAUUUAUCGCCAUAGGAUGGGACUGCGGCCUAUCAGUUUGUUGGUGAGGCAAUGGCCCACCAAGACUAUUACAGGUACGGGCUCUGAGAGGAGUAGCCCGGAGAUGGGUACUGAGACACGGACCCAGGCCCUAUGGGGCGCAGCAGGCGAGAAAACUUUGCAAUGUGCGAAAGCACGACAAGGUUAAUCCGAGUGAUUUCUGCUAAAGAGAUCUUUUGUUAGUCCUAGAAACACUAACGAAUAAGGGGUGGGCAAGUUCUGGUGUCAGCCGCCGCGGUAAAACCAGCACCUCAAGUGGUCAGGAUGAUUAUUGGGCCUAAAGCAUCCGUAGCCGGCUCUGUAAGUUUUCGGUUAAAUCUGUACGCUCAACGUACAGGCUGCCGGGAAUACUGCAGAACUAGGGAGUGGGAGAGGUAGACGGUACUCGGUAGGAAGUGGUAAAAUGCUUUGAUCUAUCGAUGACCACCUGUGGCGAAGGCGGUCUACCAGAACACGUCCGACGGUGAGGGAUGAAAGCUGGGGGAGCAAACCGGAUUAGAUACCCGGGUAGUCCCAGCUGUAAACUAUGCAAACUCAGUGAUGCAUUGGCUUGUGGCCAAUGCAGUGCUGCAGGGAAGCCGUUAAGUUUGCCGCCUGGGAAGUACGUACGCAAGUAUGAAACUUAAAGGAAUUGGCGGGGGAGCACCACAAGGGGUGAAGCCUGCGGUUC
This 876-nucleotide ribosomal RNA is filed under the name uncultured crenarchaeote. RNAcentral's name for it is "bacterial SSU rRNA". It matches the Rfam family "Archaeal small subunit ribosomal RNA", at positions 21 to 903 of the family's 1478-position model. The record is from RNAcentral. Lineage: Archaea; Thermoproteati; Thermoproteota.